RNAcentral lists this long non-coding RNA (990 nucleotides) under Citrus sinensis (sweet orange). Its description in RNAcentral is "long non-coding RNA (CSIN_LNC000028)". The record is from RNAcentral. Lineage: Eukaryota; Viridiplantae; Streptophyta; Magnoliopsida; Sapindales; Rutaceae.
UAAUUUGCAUCGACAUUGAGACACCACAACAAACUGUAAACAAACCGCAAAUUGAAAGACUUGCUUUUAUUUUCCAAAAGUUGUCACAAUGAUAUUCCAUGUUACAAUAGCUCCAGAUGAAGGCGGUUUCAGAAAGACGGAAAAGAUACAACACCAACUCAAUAUCUUAUCAACCAAAAAUCUACCACCCAAAAGAUUACAAAGCCGUGAUCCUAUAGCAUCCUGCAGUAAAUAAUUUCUGUAGUGCUGAUCUGAUUUUAAUUUAAACAGCACCAGGAACUUGAGUCUCUACUGAUUUCAAAACCUCUUCGCCCAUCUCCUAGCAUCCUACUAAUUUCUGUAGAAGCAAGUAAGAGAGUGAAGUUGUCAAAUGGCAGUUUCACUCGCGAUUGUGGUGGAUUGCGAAUGGUUGCAACUCGGUCGAUGAAGGAAAGGGGAACAAGGCGAACGAAAGAACAGCUGCCUUCUUACAGCUCAAUAUAAUGAAUAAAUGGAUUCUACUUUCCAAUACAGCCUUCUUCUUCCUCAUUCUUUAACCCAGUUGAAAAUGCUAGUGCUAACUAAUAACAAAAACAUAUUUCAAUUUUAAUUUGAUUUUCUAAUUUGCAUCGACAUUGAGACACCACAACAAACUGUAAACAAAGUGCAAAUUAAAAGACUUGCUUUUAUUUUCCAAAAGUUGUCACAAUGAUAUUCCAUGUUACAAUAGCUCCAGAUGAAGGCGGUUUCAGAAAGACGGAAAAGAUACAACACCAACUCAAUAUCUUAGCUCCAGAUGAAGGCGGUUUCCCAGAUGAAGGCGGUUUCAGAAAGACGGAAAAGAUACAACACCAACUCAAUAUCUUAUCAACCAAAAAUCUACCACCCAAAAGAUUACAAAGCCGUGAUCCUAUAGCAUCCUGCAGUAAAUAAUUUCUGUAGUGCUGAUCUGAUUUUAAUUUAAACAGCACCAGGAACUUGAGUCUCUACUGAUUUCAAAACCUCUUCGCC